Molecule: long non-coding RNA, 313 nt
Organism: Tyto alba (common barn owl)
Lineage: Eukaryota; Metazoa; Chordata; Aves; Strigiformes; Tytonidae
Exons: 4
Source: RefSeq, a predicted model, not a curated record
GCCACCAGCACACCGGGGUGCGGGUGAACCAGCAGCAGGCACCCCCCGCCUCCCUGGGGGGACCAGAGAGACCCUGAGAAGCGAGCAGCUCCUGGUCCCAGUGCGAAAGCCAAGCUGCAGCUCCGGCGUGGGCGGACGUGGAGGCCGGGGGCAGGAGCUGUGGCAAAGACACGUCCUGCCCCUCUUCGCUGUCAAGCCUCGCGCUGCAGCCAGAGGACUGACAGCAGCAGCCGGGAAGCAAAACACAGCAAAAAAAUGAACACGCGUGUACAUUUAUAGUUAAACCUUCUCCAAGGAGAUAGAACACUGUCUG